GCGCCUCGCAGCGCCUCUCACUCCGCCGCACACGCCAGCGCAGCGAGGCGGCGGCCGGCGGGAGCGGGACACGCAGCCGUCCCCGCGGGCAGCGUCCGGCCGGACACCGCGGCAAGACACGGGAGGCGGGCGGAGGGCGCCGGGCGAGCCCCGCGGAGGAGCAGAAUCAUUUUGUCCUGGCCUGCAGCUCCCUGCCUCCCCUGACGGAAGUCUGCUUUCCUGCUCUGAUCUCUUCAGUCAAGGUGUAGCUUAUCUUGGAAAGUGGAAUUGUGCUGCUGGGAGUGGACAAGGUUUUGGCAGGGCAAGGGGAACAGCCAGGUAGGUGAGUGAAUUAAAUUAAUGGCUUUGGCCACUGGGGCACUGGGCUGGUUUUUUUUUUCAACAGUUAUUGCAAAGGGAAAAGAAACCAAACCAAACCAAACCAAACGUGUGAGAUGGCUGGGCCACUUUCCACCUCGCAGGUGCUCUUGUCUGCAGUUGCAUGUGCCAGCUGGGACCUAUAUCCCUCAUCUCUUGCUGCUCGAGCUGACUAUAUGAUGCAGUGCUUUGGGAAAAGCACUGUGCUUCUCUUCUGGUGCUCAUCCAGCCCCCAAAGCAGGUGGAAGAAGGCUAAGGGAUGAGUGAUGCAGCAGUGUCCCCUGGUUAGCCCUCCCUGCAAUCCCAUCUGCAGAUAAAACUGCAUUCAGAAGUGGUCAUGCUGAGGGGGUGUCCCAGAUGGGACCACUUGCACCACAACAUGCUACAUUCUGCCUGAGCCUGCCCCAAAAAGCUCUGCUACAGUGAGGAAGGAGGAAGUGAAGGCUGCAGCCUCUUGGGAUGUACUUAGAAACCCUGGGAAGCAUCGAUGGAUGGGCCUUGCUUGCCCUGGGAACUGUAAAUCCCUUGCUCCGCUGGUGAUGGCAGUGCCCCUGCUCUGGCAGAACUAAGGGGAUGUCCCUGUCUCCUCUGCUUUUGGGAACAUCUUUGCUGCUCUGAACUACUCCCCUCCCAGGACCAUACAGGCCAUUAAGAUGAUUAAGGGAUUGGAGCAGCUGUCCUGAGAGCUGGAAAAAUGAAGGCUUGGGAAGGGGGUUCUUGUCCAUGCCUGGUUGGGGGAUAAAGAAUCACAGAAUAGUAAGGUUGGAAGGAACCACUAUGGGUCAUCUGGUCCAACCUCUCUGCUCAAGGGGUCAUCCUAGAGGGCAUUGGACAGAAUUGUGUCCAGAUGGUUUUUUAAUACCUCCAGUGAGGGAGACUCCACACCCUCUCUGGGCAACCUGUUCCUUUGUGUGGUCACCCACACAGUGAAGCUGUUCUUCCUCAUUUUCAUGUGGAACUUCCUGUGCAUUAGUUUCUGCCCAUUGCCUCUUGUCCUCUUGGGGGGCCUCACUGAGCAGAACCUGAUCCAUCCUCUGGCACCCUCACUGCAGAUACUGACAGACAUUGAUGAGGACCCCUCUCAGUUGUAACUUCUCCAGGCUGAACAGCUCAGCUCCCUCAGUCUUUCCUUGUAAGAGAGAUGUUUCAAUUCCUUAAUCAUCUUUGUAUCCCUCUGUUGGAUCUGCUCCAAGAACUCGAUGUGUCUCUUGUACUGAGGAGCCCAGAACUGGACACAGCAUUCCAGAUAUGGCCUCAGAUAUGGAGGGGCAGGAUCUUGCUCUGCUGCCAAUGCUCUUCCUAAUGCAUUCUAGGAUACCAGUGGCCUUCUUGGUCCCCAGGGCACACUGCUGGCUAAGGGACAUCUUCUUGUCCACUGAGAUUCCCUGGUCCUUCUCUGCAGAGCUGCUUCCCAGCAGGUUGGCCCCCAUCAGGUACUUGUGCAUGGAGUUAUUCUUGCCCAGGUGCACCAUCGUAGUGAGUGUUCAGGGGUUUAAACCAGCAGAAGGUGGUAGGCAGGAUUUGAGAAGAGGAAGGCAAAUGAUACAAGCUUAAAAAAAUCACCAGUGAAACCACAGAGACACAUCACAGAGAGGGGAGGGAGCAGUUCUGGAGGCCCCCAGCCCCACAGUGACACCAUGCAGGGUAUAGGAGCAAGGGCCCCAGCAGCCCUGCUUCAUGAUGCCAGUAGAAAUAUCCAGGAUUCCCCCUUUCUGCCCAGCCCAAUCCUCACUGCUCAGUGUGGCCCAGCAAGAGGACAAGAGGCAAUGGGCAGAAACUAAUGCACAGGAAGUUCCACAUGAAAAUGAGGAGUGGCACAGGACCCAGCACUCUGCCAUGCACUUUGUAGCCUGAUGCCACCUCCUCCUUGGUGGGGCAGAAGGCUCCGUGUCAUCAGCCACAUGCUGCCAAGGCCACUGAACUCAGGAAAUUUAAUAAAAGCAGUGAGAACCA
Long non-coding RNA from Haemorhous mexicanus (house finch), 2310 nucleotides. RefSeq lists it as uncharacterized. The transcript has 2 exons. Lineage: Eukaryota; Metazoa; Chordata; Aves; Passeriformes; Fringillidae. The record is from RefSeq and is a predicted model, not a curated record.